UGGGGGUUUUUGCACAAUGGCCGAAAGCCUGAUGCAGCGACGCCGCGUGGGGGAUGAAGGCCUUCGGGUUGUAAACUUUUUUUGCUCUGAACAAGGCAUGCUAAUGGGUGUGUUGAGUGUAGGGGUUGAUUAGCGCCGGCUAACUACGUGCCAGCAGCCGCGGUAAUACGUAGGGCGCGAGCGUUGUCCGGAAUUAUUAGGCGUAAAGGGGUUGUAGGUGGCUGGUUGCGUCUGUCGUGAAAGCUAAUGGCUUAACUGUGGGUUUGCGGUGGGUGCGGGCUGGCUUGUGUGCAGUAGGAGAGGCUGGAAUUCCUGGUGUAGCGGUGGAAUGCGCAGAUGUCAGGAGGAAUACCGGUUGCGGAGGCGGGUCUCUGGGCUGUUACUGACACUGAGGAGCGGAAACAUGGGGGGCGAAGAGG
Molecule: ribosomal RNA, 419 nt
Filed under: bacterium
Lineage: Bacteria
Description: partial 16S ribosomal RNA
Rfam family: Bacterial small subunit ribosomal RNA
Source: RNAcentral